GCCGGGGUAGCUCAGCUUGGUCAGAGAAAAUAUUACCAUCAGUAAUAUUUCUUCAACGCGGGGCUCAUAAUCCCGUUGCCGUGGGUUCGAAUCCCACCCCCGGCG
RNAcentral lists this transfer RNA (105 nucleotides) under Candidatus Caldarchaeum subterraneum. RNAcentral describes it as "Candidatus Caldiarchaeum subterraneum (hot springs metagenome) tRNA-Met". It matches the Rfam family "tRNA". Rfam says of the family: Transfer RNA (tRNA) molecules are approximately 80 nucleotides in length. Their secondary structure includes four short double-helical elements and three loops (D, anti-codon, and T loops). The record is from RNAcentral. Lineage: Archaea; Thermoproteati; Nitrososphaerota; Candidatus Caldarchaeales; Candidatus Caldarchaeaceae.